This 456-nucleotide ribosomal RNA is filed under the name uncultured bacterium. RNAcentral describes it as "bacterial SSU rRNA". It matches the Rfam family "Bacterial small subunit ribosomal RNA", at positions 28 to 483 of the family's 1533-position model. The record is from RNAcentral.
GACGAACGCUGGCGGCGUGCCUAACACAUGCAAGUCAACUUGACGGAAGGAGCAAUCUGACCGUAGAGUGGCGCAAGGGUGCGUAACGCGUAAGUAACUUGCCCCAAGGUAAGGAAUAACGUCGAGAAAUCGGCGCUAAUACCUCAUAAUGCAGCGGAUCCGCAUGGAUAUGUUGUUAAAGGUUUACCGCCUUGGGAUAGGCUUGCGUCUGAUUAGCUAGUUGGUGUGGUAACGGCACACCAAGGCUACGAUCAGUAACUGGUCAGAGAGGAUGAUCAGUCACACUGGAACUGAGACACGGUCCAGACUCCUACGGGAGGCAGCAGUGAGGCAUAUUGGGCAAUGCUCGAAAGAGUGACCCAGCAACGCCGCGUGAGGAUGAAGGUAUUCUAUAUCGUAAACUCCUGUGAGAGCAGACGAAAGACAGAUUAUUAAUACUGGAUGACUGUAUGCUCA